GCUUGGUGCGGUGGCGCACUCCUGUAAUCCCAGUUGCUAGAGAGGCUGAGGCAAGGGGAUCACGAGUUCAAAGCAAUCCUCAGCAACAGCGAUGCACUAAGCAACUUAGUGAGACUCUGUCUCUA
RNAcentral lists this small RNA (125 nucleotides) under Marmota monax (woodchuck). The record is from RNAcentral. Lineage: Eukaryota; Metazoa; Chordata; Mammalia; Rodentia; Sciuridae.